Molecule: long non-coding RNA, 4664 nt
Filed under: Sus scrofa (pig)
Lineage: Eukaryota; Metazoa; Chordata; Mammalia; Artiodactyla; Suidae
Description: lncRNA (multiple genes)
Source: RNAcentral
CAAACUGACCAAAAUUAAAGACAAAGAGAAAAUACUGAAAGCAGCUAGGAAAAAGAAACAAAUAACAUACAAAGGAACCCUGAUAAGGUUAUUGGCUGAUUUUCAGAGAAACUCUGCAGGCCAGAAGAGAGUAGCAUGAUAUACUUAAAGUGACGAAAGGAAAAAACCCUUCAACCAAGAUUACUCUAUCCAGCAAGACUUUCAUUCAGAUUCGAAGGAGAAAUUAAAACCUUUACAGACAAGCAAAAGCUAAGAGAAUGAGAAUUCAGCACCACUAAACCAGCUUUACAACAAAUACUAAAGGAACUUCUCUAGGUGGAAAAGAAAAGGCCACAACUAGAAAGAAAAAUAUUACAAAUGACAAGACUCACCAGUAAAGGUAUAUAGUAAAGGUAGGAAAUUAUCCACACACAAAAUAUGCUACCAAAAUCAGAAAUCAUGAGUGGAGGAGGGUACAAAUGCAGGAUACUGGAGAUACAUUUGCAAUUAAGAGACCAACAACUGGGAAUUCCCAUUGUGGCUCAGUGGCAAUGAAACUAAAUAGUAUCCAUGAGGUUUGAUCCCUGGCCUCACUCAGUAGGUUAAGAAUCUGACAUUGCAGUGAGCUGUGGUGGAGGUCACAGACGUGGCUUGGAGGCCACAUUGCUGUGGCUGUGGGGUAGGCUGGCAUCUACAGCUCCAAUUAGACCCCUAGCCUAGGAACUUCCAUAUGCCACAGGUACAGCCCUAAAAAGAAAAAAAAAAAGAGAGAGAGAGACCAACAACCUAAAACAAUCUUAUAUAUAUAUAUAGACUCCUGUAUCAAAACUUCAUGGUAACUGCAAACCAAAAAUCUAUAAUAGAUACACACAUACAAAUAACAAAAAGCAAUUCAAAAACAAUACUAAACAUAGGCAUCAAACCACAAGAGACAAGAACAAGAGAAGGGAAGAAAAAAGAGCAAUAAAAAAAAAAUCCAAAACAGUUAAUAAAAUGGCAAUAAGAACAUACUUAUCAAUAAUUACCUGAAAUGCAAAUGGACUAAAUGCCCCAACCAAAAGACACAGACUGCCUAAAUGGUAAAAACAAGACCCAUAAACAUGCUGUCUUCAAGAGACCCACUUCAGUCCUAAGAACACAUACAAACUGAAAAUGAGAGGAUGGAUGAAAAUAUUCCAUGCAAAGGGAAUCAAAAGAAAGCUGGAGUAGCAAUACUCCUAUCAGACAAAACAGACCUUAAAAUAAAGAAUGUUAUAAAUGACAAAUAAGGACAUUAAAUAAUGAUCAAAGGGUCAAUCAAAGAAAAUAUAAACAAUUGUAAAUAUAUAUGCACCCAACACAGGAUCACCUCAAUAUAUAAGGCAGCUACUAACAACCUUAAAAGGAGAAACUGACAAUAACACAAUUAACAGUGGGGGACUUUAACACCCCACUUACAGCAAAGGACACAGGCCUUAAGUGAUGCACUAGACCAGAAGGACUUAAUAGAUAUUUAUAAAAUAUUCCAUCCAAAAGCAGCAGAAUACAGUCUUCUCAAGUGCACAUGGAACAUUCUCUAAGAUAGAUCACAUUCUGGGCCACAAAUCAAGCCUCAGUAAAUUUAAGAAAAUUGAAAUCGUACCAAGCAUCUUUUUCAACCUCAACAAUGUAAGGCUAGAAAUCAACAACAAGAAAAAAACUGCACAAAGCACAAACACGUGGAGACUAAACAAAUGCUACUAAACAAACAAUGGAUGACUGAAAAAAUCAAAGAGGAAAUUGUAAACUACCUAGAAGCAAAUGAUGACAAAAACACAUCAAUCCAAAACCUACAGGAUGCAGUAAAAACAGUUCUAAGAGGCAAUACAAGCCUACCUCAGGAAACAAGAAAAAGCUCAAAUAAACAACCUAACUCUACACCUAAAGCAACUAGAGAAACAACAAACAAAACCCAAAUUUAGCAGAAGGAAAGAAAUCAUAAAGAUCAGAGCAAAAAUAAAUGAAAUAGAAAUGAACAAAACCAUAGAAAAGAUCAAAGGAACUAAAAGCUAGUUCCUUAAAAAGAUAAACAAAACUGAUAAGCCUUAGCCAGGUUCAUGAAGAAAAAAAGAAAAGAGUUCCUGUCUUGGCUCAGUGGAAACAAACUAGACUAGUAUCCAUGAUGAUGCAAGUUUGAUCCCUGACCUCAUUUAGUGGGUUAAGGACCCAGCAUUGCUGUGAGCUAUAGUGUAGGUUUCAGACACAGCUUGGAUCCUAUGUUGCCGUGGCUGUGACAUAAGCCAGCAGCUGUAGCUCCUAUUUGACCCCUAGCCUGGUAACUUCCAUAUGCCAUGGGUGUGGCCCUAAAAAAAGAAAAAAGAGAGAGGACUCUCUCUCUUUAGUAAAAAGGAAAAGUUACAAUGGACAUUACAGAAAUACAAAGGAUCAUAAGCGACUACUACAAGCAACUAGGUGCCAAUAAACAAGAAAACCUAGAAUAAGUGGACAAAUUCUUAUAAAAAUAUGAUCUUCUAAGACUAAACCAAGAAGAAAUAGAAAAGAUGAAUGGCCCAAUCACAAGUACUGAAAUUGAAGCUGUGAUUUAAAAACUUCCAACAAGCAAAACUCCAGGACCAGAUGGCUUCACAGGUGAAUUCCAUCAAUAAUUUAGAGAAGAGUUAAUACCUAUCCUUCUGAAACUAUUCCAAAAAACAUUGCAGAUGAAUACCCCCAACCUCAUUCAGUGAGGCCACCACCACCCUCAUACCAAAAUCAAAGAUACCACAAAAAAGAAAAUUGCAGGCCAAUAUCACUGAUGAACAUAGAUGCAAAAAUCCUCAACAAAAUACUAGCAAACCAAAUCCAGCAAUACAUUAAAAGGAUCACACACCAUGAUCAAGUGGAAUUUAUCCCAGGGAUGCAAGGAUUUUUCAAUGUCUGCAAAUCAAUCAGUGUGAUACACCACAUUAACAAACUGAAGAAUAAAAACCAUAUGAUCCUCUCAAUAUAUGCAGAAAAAGCUUUUAGCAAAAUCCAACACCCAUUUCUGAUAAAAACCCUUCAGAAAGGGGCAUAGAGGGAACCUACCUCAAUAUAAUAAAGGCCAUAUAUGACAAACCAACAGCCAACAUCAUUCGCAAUGGUGAAAAGCUGAAAGAACUCCCACUAAGAUCAGGAAUAAGACAAGCAUGUCUGUUUUUGCCACUACUAUCCAACAGAGUUUUGGAAGUACUAGCCAUGGCAGUCAGAGAAGAAAAAGAAAUAAAAGGGAUCAAAAUUGGAAAGGAAGAAGUGAAACUAUCACUGUUUGCUGAUGACAUGAUACUAUGCCUAGAAAACCCUUUAGAUGCUUUUUCUAAACAUAAAAAUUAGAGCUCAUCAAUGAAUUUGGUAAAGUUGCAGGAUACAAAGCUAAUACACAAAAAUCCACUUCAUUUCUAUAUACUAACAAUGAAAGAUCAGAAAGAGAAAUUAGGGAAACAAUCCCAUUUACCAUUGCAUCAGAAAGAAUAAAAUACCUAGAAAUAAACCAGCGUCAACCUUGGACAGCAUAGCACAUGAAAACUUCAGAACGAAGAGUGACAUUAAAUCUAGUCUAGGGCUAAAAACGUUGGGUUUUUUUAGGAAUAAACCUACCUAAAGAGACAAAAGACCUGUACUUUGAAAACUAUAAGAUACUGAUGAAAGAAAUCAAAGAUGACACAAACAGAUGGAAAGAUAUACCAUGGUCUUGGAAGAAUCAAUAUUGUCAAAAUGACUAUGCUACCCAAGACAACCUACUGAUUCAAUGCAAUCCCUAUCAAAUUACCAAUGGCAUUUUUCACAGAACUAGAACAAAAUAUUUUAAAUUUUGUUUGGAAGAACAAAAGACCCAGAAUAGCCAAAGCAAUCUUGAAAAAGAAAAAUGGAACUGGAGGAAUCAGGUUCCCUGGCUUCAGAGUAUACUACAAAGCUACAGUCAUCAAAAUGGUACGGUACUAGUGCAAAAACAGAAAUAUAGACUAGAUCAGUGGAACAAGAUAGAAAGCCAAGAAACAGUCCCUUUGAUAAGUGGUUCUAGGACAACCGGGCAGCCACAUGUAAAAGAAUGAAGUUAGAACACUUCCUAAGACCAUAUACAAAAAUAAACUCAAAAAAGAUUAAAGACCUAAAUAUAAGACCAGAUACUAUAAAACUCUUUGAAGAAAACAUAGGCCAAACACUCUCCAAACAUAAACCACAGCAAUAUCUUCUCAGAUCCACCUCCUAGAGUAAUGACAAUAAAAAUUUAAAAAAAAAAUGGGCCCUAAUUAAACUUAGAAGUUUUUGCACAGCAAAGGAAAUCCUAAACAAAACAAAAAGACAACCCACUGAUUGGGAGAAAAUAUUUGCAAAUGAAGUGACUAACAAGGGAUUAAUCUGCAAAAUAUAUAAACAGCUUCUGCAGCUCAAUACCAAACAAAAAACCCCAUCAAGAAAUGGGCAGAAGGAGUUCCCGUCGUGGCGCAGUGGUUAACGAAUCUGACUAGGAACCAUGAGGUUGCGGGUUCGGUCCCUGCCCUUGCUCAGUGGGUUAAUGAUCCGGCGUUGCCGUGAGCUGUGGUAUAGGUUGCAGACGCGGCUCGGAUCCCGCGUUGCUGGCUCUGGCGUAGGCCGGUGGCUACAGCUCCGAUUCAACCCCUAGCCUGGGAACCUCCAUAUGCCGAGGGAGUGGCCCAAGAAAUAGCAACAACAACAACAACAACAAC